This 690-nucleotide unclassified non-coding RNA is filed under the name Hevea brasiliensis (rubber tree). The record is from RNAcentral. Lineage: Eukaryota; Viridiplantae; Streptophyta; Magnoliopsida; Malpighiales; Euphorbiaceae.
UGCACUAUCACUCAAAAGAUGAAGUCACCUUUUACAAAGUUCAGUCUAAGCCUCCCCACUGAAGUGUGAAUGAAAUGAGCGAAGACGAGCAAAUUAUUGCAUCAAAUUUAAAAAUGGAUUUCUCAGAUCCGAAAACUCUCUUGGGAAAGAGAAUGUUGUAUGAAUUCCCUGUUACUCGACUCAUCCUAAUAGAAAAGAGAGAGACCUUACGGUUUGUUCAAUUUGCCCAACCAAAUUUUCAGAAACUGCUAUCUUAGACGUAGUAACCAGUGAAUGUAAAUCCUCUUCCUACUAUCUCACCAGCACAAUACCAUGCAAAGCACUCCAAGCCAAACAAAGCAGCAAUGCCUGCAUCUUCAACCUUCAAGUCCUUUCUAUUCCUCCACAUGUGCUUGACAGAGUCGACUUCCUUCCAAAAUGACUCACAACGGCCGGGGAUGCUAGCAAGGCGAGUGUAGAGCAACUGCUUGGACAAUUCAUUGCAUUUUUCAACAGUGGGUGGCUCUACAAUAUACUGUUUGUUCUGCUCCAGCAACUGUUUGUAGUAGGUAGUACCAUGCUUAGAGAGAAACUGUGAAGCUUGACAAGCCUUAGAUUGCAGUUGCUGAAUCUUGGAAGCCAUCAAUCCCAAGGAAGUCCUUUUGUUCAGCGGAUGAAAUCUACGAUUUUCGCUUCAAUCGCCGAUAGCCG